Molecule: long non-coding RNA, 200 nt
Filed under: Olea europaea (common olive)
Lineage: Eukaryota; Viridiplantae; Streptophyta; Magnoliopsida; Lamiales; Oleaceae
Description: long non-coding RNA (OEUR_LNC005854)
Source: RNAcentral
GGGACACCAUUAUGUACAAUUUUUUUAUGUACAACAAGAAUUGUCCUCUAUUAAUAUGUUUGGCGUGUAACAUCCCUACCUUUGAAAUUGUUUGGCAUAUAACAUCCCUCUCUACCUUUUAAUGUAAUUGAAAAAUACAUGCCCACCACAGAACGUGUUUCAACACCACAGAACAUGCACCAAUUUUAACUCCAUCUUCA